AAGAAACAGAAGCCCGCUGCAAAUAAAAUAAUAAACGGUGCAGAUAAAAAAAUAAUAAUAAAAAAAGCUUUUGUUUUGACUUUUUUUUUAUCUGCACUGUUUCUUGUUUUAUUUGCAGUGGGCUUCUGUUUCUU
Xyrichtys novacula (pearly razorfish) is the source of this 134-nucleotide non-coding RNA. The record is from the annotation of a GenBank genome assembly. NCBI's taxonomy places the organism in Eukaryota, Metazoa, Chordata, Actinopteri, Labriformes, Labridae.